This 23-nucleotide microRNA is filed under the name Mus musculus (house mouse). RNAcentral's name for it is "mmu-miR-6337". The record is from miRBase by way of RNAcentral. Lineage: Eukaryota; Metazoa; Chordata; Mammalia; Rodentia; Muridae.
UGAGGGCUGCUGGGUUGCUAGGU